This is a long non-coding RNA of Eriocheir sinensis (Chinese mitten crab), 513 nucleotides long. RefSeq lists it as uncharacterized. The transcript has 3 exons. The record is from RefSeq and is a predicted model, not a curated record. Lineage: Eukaryota; Metazoa; Arthropoda; Malacostraca; Decapoda; Varunidae.
CAGCCGCCCAAGGAUUCAGGUGGUGUGUGUUUCACACGGCGGAGUUCACCCCGAGCGGACCGGAUGGGUGGGCCACCGGGCGGCCUACACGGUUCUUAUGCAAUUGUACCUAUAAGGUAGAAACUUACAAGAGGAGCCAGUUUUAUCGAAGCCUGUUUGGGAACAUUAUACAGACUACGGGACCCUGGCGUUUGUUCUACCCUCAUUACACUUCGAUAACAACCUCUACCAGGCAUCAUGGGAGCUGAUAAGAAAGGAAAGGAAUCGGUCACCGCAGAGGAAUUGCGCAGGCAACGAGGGAUUGCAAAAGGCAAGGUCCUCACUCGUCACCGCCACUACCCCGUGCUGCCCUCGCCCCGCCCCGCCCCGUCCCGGGCCCCGAGCAAUCCUGUCGCAUCCUGUCGUCGCAGCGCUCGCUACCGUCGCCGCCGCCGCCCGCCUGAUUUGGCGGGCAGUCUUUUAUGCAUGAGCCGGAUCGAAACAUAAAGGCGCUUUAUUCAUAUGUUUCCACAA